AACGUAGGAGACAAACGUUAUCCGGAGUUACUGGGCGUAAAGGGCGUGCAGGCGGUCAUUUAAGUUCGGCGUGAAAGCUCCUGGCUAAACCGGGAGAGGUCGUCGGAGACUGGAUGGCUAGAGGGUGAUAGAGGCGGGUGGAAUUCCGGGUGUAGUGGUGAAAUGCGUAGAGAUCCGGAGGAACACCAGUGGCGAAGGCGACCCGCUGGGUCACACCUGACACUGAGACGCGACAGCAUGGGGAGCGAACGGG
RNAcentral lists this ribosomal RNA (253 nucleotides) under uncultured bacterium. RNAcentral describes it as "partial 16S ribosomal RNA". It matches the Rfam family "Bacterial small subunit ribosomal RNA", at positions 524 to 776 of the family's 1533-position model. The record is from RNAcentral.